RNAcentral lists this ribosomal RNA (1538 nucleotides) under Pseudocitrobacter corydidari. RNAcentral describes it as "bacterial SSU rRNA". It matches the Rfam family "Bacterial small subunit ribosomal RNA". Lineage: Bacteria; Pseudomonadati; Pseudomonadota; Gammaproteobacteria; Enterobacterales; Enterobacteriaceae. The record is from RNAcentral.
UUGAAGAGUUUGAUCAUGGCUCAGAUUGAACGCUGGCGGCAGGCCUAACACAUGCAAGUCGAACGGUAACAGAAAGCAGCUUGCUGCUUUGCUGACGAGUGGCGGACGGGUGAGUAAUGUCUGGGAAACUGCCUGAUGGAGGGGGAUAACUACUGGAAACGGUAGCUAAUACCGCAUAACGUCGCAAGACCAAAGAGGGGGACCUUCGGGCCUCUUGCCAUCGGAUGUGCCCAGAUGGGAUUAGCUAGUAGGUGGGGUAACGGCUCACCUAGGCGACGAUCCCUAGCUGGUCUGAGAGGAUGACCAGCCACACUGGAACUGAGACACGGUCCAGACUCCUACGGGAGGCAGCAGUGGGGAAUAUUGCACAAUGGGCGCAAGCCUGAUGCAGCCAUGCCGCGUGUAUGAAGAAGGCCUUCGGGUUGUAAAGUACUUUCAGCGAGGAGGAAGGUGUUGUGGUUAAUAACCACAGCAAUUGACGUUACUCGCAGAAGAAGCACCGGCUAACUCCGUGCCAGCAGCCGCGGUAAUACGGAGGGUGCAAGCGUUAAUCGGAAUUACUGGGCGUAAAGCGCACGCAGGCGGUUUGUUAAGUCAGAUGUGAAAUCCCCGGGCUCAACCUGGGAACUGCAUUUGAAACUGGCAAGCUUGAGUCUCGUAGAGGGGGGUAGAAUUCCAGGUGUAGCGGUGAAAUGCGUAGAGAUCUGGAGGAAUACCGGUGGCGAAGGCGGCCCCCUGGACGAAGACUGACGCUCAGGUGCGAAAGCGUGGGGAGCAAACAGGAUUAGAUACCCUGGUAGUCCACGCUGUAAACGAUGUCGACUUGGAGGUUGUGCCCUUGAGGCGUGGCUUCCGGAGCUAACGCGUUAAGUCGACCGCCUGGGGAGUACGGCCGCAAGGUUAAAACUCAAAUGAAUUGACGGGGGCCCGCACAAGCGGUGGAGCAUGUGGUUUAAUUCGAUGCAACGCGAAGAACCUUACCUACUCUUGACAUCCACGGAACUUAGCAGAGAUGCUUUGGUGCCUUCGGGAACCGUGAGACAGGUGCUGCAUGGCUGUCGUCAGCUCGUGUUGUGAAAUGUUGGGUUAAGUCCCGCAACGAGCGCAACCCUUAUCCUUUGUUGCCAGCGGUUCGGCCGGGAACUCAAAGGAGACUGCCAGUGAUAAACUGGAGGAAGGUGGGGAUGACGUCAAGUCAUCAUGGCCCUUACGAGUAGGGCUACACACGUGCUACAAUGGCAUAUACAAAGAGAAGCGACCUCGCGAGAGCAAGCGGACCUCAUAAAGUAUGUCGUAGUCCGGAUUGGAGUCUGCAACUCGACUCCAUGAAGUCGGAAUCGCUAGUAAUCGUAGAUCAGAAUGCUACGGUGAAUACGUUCCCGGGCCUUGUACACACCGCCCGUCACACCAUGGGAGUGGGUUGCAAAAGAAGUAGGUAGCUUAACCUUCGGGAGGGCGCUUACCACUUUGUGAUUCAUGACUGGGGUGAAGUCGUAACAAGGUAACCGUAGGGGAACCUGCGGUUGGAUCACCUCCUU